This 353-nucleotide unclassified non-coding RNA is filed under the name uncultured Basidiomycota. RNAcentral describes it as "sequence contains ITS1". The stretch from base 1 to 105 matches the Rfam family "5.8S ribosomal RNA", at positions 50 to 154 of the family's 154-position model. The record is from RNAcentral. Lineage: Eukaryota; Fungi; Basidiomycota.
GAAAUGCGAUAAGUAAUGUGAAUUGCAGAAUUCAGUGAAUCAUCGAAUCUUUGAACGCACCUUGCGCUCCUUGGCAUUCCGAGGAGCAUGCCUGUUUGAGUGUCAUGAAACUAUCAAACUGCAAAUGUUUUUGUUAACACUUGCUGGUUUGGAUGUUGGAUGCUUGCUGGACACCCAGCUCAUCUGAAAUUUAUUAGCUGAUCUAAACAUCAUGGAUUAUCCACUUGGCGUGAUAAGUAUCACCCGCUGAGGACUUGUCUAGAGAUGAUGGAUUGCUUCUAAUCAUGGGUACUUCUGUAUCUCAUAUUGAAUCAUCUGACCUCAAAUCAGGUAGGACUACCCGCUGAACUUAA